GAGGAGCAACCAAUCUAGAAGGUUUUCCACUUAAUCACCCAAAAAUUUAUUAAACAAACAAAAUUAAAAACAGAAAUAAAUAACAUUACUGAAAAUAUAAAUUUGUUCAUUGGGGACAAAACACCCCAAUAGUACAACACCAAAGUCAAAAUACAUAAUCCGAAAAUACAAAUAAAAAUAAACAUAAAAACUGAAAAAUAU
RNAcentral lists this long non-coding RNA (201 nucleotides) under Lathyrus oleraceus (garden pea). RNAcentral's name for it is "Pisum sativum (pea) long non-coding RNA (PSAT_LNC002543)". Lineage: Eukaryota; Viridiplantae; Streptophyta; Magnoliopsida; Fabales; Fabaceae. The record is from RNAcentral.